Long non-coding RNA from Oncorhynchus masou masou (cherry salmon), 1058 nucleotides. RefSeq lists it as uncharacterized. NCBI's taxonomy places the organism in Eukaryota, Metazoa, Chordata, Actinopteri, Salmoniformes, Salmonidae. The transcript has 4 exons. The record is from RefSeq and is a predicted model, not a curated record.
CAAGAGAGAACUGGCAGCCAAAAACAUCACAUUCUCUCUGAUGUUCCCUGCGAAGCUGUGCGUCACCCAUGUGAGCAAGACCCUGUACCUGUACCUGAUGCCGAGUCCUUCCUGCGCUCCAUUGGGAUUAAACCACCUUCCAGAUCCGAGGACAGGGUCCGGAAAAAUAUGCCGACUAUGUGGCAAAUUGUUGGGCCCAGAAGGAGUGAGAGACAAGGACACAAAUCUACCGUGGAACACUGUCCAGUCCACAUUGACUACUGAAGCGACCCCUUUUUCUUAAGGACUGGAAACGACCUGGAUUUAUGCUCAUAACUGGGAUCUUAUUGUUAGAAUAAUUCAUCAAUCUUUGGCCUCCAGUUUAUUGGGAUGAUAGGACAAAGGAGCGUUUCUGUCUGCAGUUAUGGGUACAAGGAAAAGGCCAAUUCAAAUCAAGCUAAAACGAAUGGAUGUUGACAUUGCCCUCCUCCAGGAGACCCACCUAUCAGACGAGGAACACAAAAAGCUUAAAGAGAAUGGGUAUUGUUCCUGUGGAUACACUCCAAUACUCUUCACUUAAAUUGAUAGAGCAUCUUUCAUCAGCAGCAAGGAAAAGUGUAACAAAACACUGGGAAAAUGAACAUGCACCUUCAAAAGAUAUGUGGUUAGGUCUAUGUGGGGAACUUGCUGACAUGGAGAGAAUUACAUCAAUCUUGCAACAUAGACAGGUAUGAAGGUGUCUGGUCAGAGUUCCUGUCAUAUCGUACAGGUCUUAUUCUGUCAUUUAUGGGCUUUUUGUUUUUCUGUUGUUUUUGUGUGACUUAAUCCAAAUUGUAUACUUAUUCAGACUCUUGAAAUAUUUGCUCUAUACAGCCAAAAUGUACGCUCCUUAGUAAAGACAGUAAAUAUACGUUGUGUAUGUAUGGUACAUGUUCUUUAUGUGCUCUUUAAUAAAAAGUCAUGUUUAAAAAAAAUGAAUAAGUGCCUUCGAAAAUAAAAUAAAAAUAAGAAAUAUAAUAUUUCAGUACAUUAUUUACUUUUAUUUGGUGACUUUAUCAUUUUUCAUUCCUUAAAGUCAU